UAAGUGUGGGCAUUUUCCAAAAAGGGGCGGGAGGAACCGAACUUGCAAAAAAAAAAAAAGUUGUGCCUUAGAAGUAGCGUCCUCCCAAAUGGGCUCAAGCCACCGGCUGCGGGGGAGGGGUGUGUGCGGGGCAGAGGUUCGGGCUUUUGGGCUCAAGUAACGCCGAUGGAUAGAAGGAGCUUCCUCGCUUCGUAAAAGAGGGAACGGAUUCGGCAGAAGCUACAGUGAGCUCACGGCGAGUCAAACCCAAAUGGAUUGCCCCUUCAGCUUGCCUCGCCCCUUUGAUUCCAAUUUGCCUCCCGAAUCCGCCGCCAACUGGGUUCCUCUCGAAGCCUCCGGAUUAGAGUUCCUAGCGUUUCCAUAUAAUGCGAACUAUGUAAAACAGGAAUUUGAAGAGUCCGAGUAGAUCUGCCGGGGAAAGUUCUGUUGAGACUUGCCUGUACAACUAUGCCAGCAGAGGAACAUGGGAGUUGGCCAACCAGAUCUGCAGAUUUUACAGAACUUAAUAUACAGCACACAAAAUGUGCAACUUGGUAGUCUGGAAUAUCCAGGGGAAUGAGUUCUCUUCCUGGUGGAGCUUCUUCUACUUCUCCUAUCAGCUUUUCCUUGCCUUUCUCUUCAAUACUGUCAAGUUCGUGGGUAUCUGAACUAGGAUAUAGCAAGUCACAAUUUUGGAGACUCAAAUUUUUCUGUGAGUGAGAAGCAUUUUCU
This is a long non-coding RNA of Ahaetulla prasina, 711 nucleotides long. RefSeq lists it as uncharacterized. The record is from RefSeq and is a predicted model, not a curated record. Lineage: Eukaryota; Metazoa; Chordata; Lepidosauria; Squamata; Colubridae. The transcript is spliced from 4 exons.